Molecule: long non-coding RNA, 1293 nt
Filed under: Gallus gallus (chicken)
Lineage: Eukaryota; Metazoa; Chordata; Aves; Galliformes; Phasianidae
Description: lncRNA (ENSGALG00010025769.1)
Source: RNAcentral
CUCGUAUCGUCAGGACAGGGCUCAGGGCAGCAGCAGGGAAAGGCUCCUGUUGAAUAACAAUUUGUUUGGACAGAAGAUGAUGACCUCAGCCACCUAGAUUUGUUACUCCAAAAGGAGCCUUGGAAAGGACCACAGAGUGCUGACACGUCAAAAGAUCCUGCUGUGUUUGUUUUUAAACAGGUCAAAGCCCAGCAGCCGAUCACCCUGCAUGCUUAUAGGCUCUGUGUCCAGCUAUGAAUGCAAGAGCAGGAUCUCAGCACUGAGACGGAUGAGAUUUAAAAUGCAGAGCUGCACAACAACUUCUACAGUAUGGCUCAGAGUGCAGAUGCCAUUUAGCAGUGUCAUUUGGAACUGCAACUCCAAAUUCUCCAGAUAAGCCUGUACAUGUCAAAACAGUUCCUGAAACAGUGAGCCUACAUCUGUAAUAAAGCCUUGCAUAUUUCAUAUGCAAAUGAAAUUAAUAAUUCAAAUUAUAUUGAAACUUAGUCUGUCAUGUAGUUUUUAGUGUAUUCUUUUGGAGGUAAAGAAUAGAAACACAGUCACAAUCCUGAAGGAACGCUGAGCAGUGGGUGGUCCUCAGAGCACAUCUGUGGUGUGCAACACACAAAGUUUCUUCAGCGCCCUCCUUGUCCUCAUCCCAUUUGCCUAUUUGACCCAUGAAAGGUGUCCUUUGUAUCCAGUGAUGUCCAUGGAAGUGGUGAAGAUAGGCUUGCUGGGAUACCUUGCUUGCUUUCGGUGGUUAUAGCCUCUGUCACUGCUUGGCACACCAGCUACUUAAUCUGCCUGUGGCAGAAGUAGAUGUAUAAAUGGAAGCUUGUCAUUGAAAUUGUGUUGUAACAUGGAAGGUGUUCAUAUUCUCAUGCAAUCUAGCAUAAAUCACGUCUCUGUGUUCAUACAACGGCUGUGCACCUCUCUGGACUUGGUGACAAUGUCAGUGGCAUGUCCCCAACCCAGGCUGGUUGUUUCUGUUAUCACCCUACUCUUCCCUCAAUACUGAGCAUGUUCAUAGACUGAUCUGCAGAUCUGCAGAUCAUGUGCAGGAAAGUGAUCUUGUCAUUUCACUGUUCACCAGCAAAUCUAUGUUGCCCCUCCUCAAAUACCAAUACCUGGCCUGCAUAGCUGAAGUGCUCAUAAGCCACCCAAAGCUGUUCUAUUACUUUUACUGAGGAGACGGCCAUUCCAAUGCACAUCUUUCAGAUUGGCAGUGUCACUGGCUAAUUCUUUGGAGGAUCCCUGGAAGUUUGCAUUCUCAUAGAUGGCGUUUUUGGCCUUUUCAGCUAUACUUCUGUAGUU